UCGCCCAUACCGUCCUCGUCUCUAUCCCGAGCCGCCCACUGCUCUCUCCCACACGCGCCCCUCUUCUUCCUCCCUUCGCUCUUCUUCUUCCUCCUCUACUCAGAGCUCGAACAGAGCCAUGGAUGGCCUCCUAGCCUCCGGCCGAUUCGACGUCUCCACGACCUCCCAGUCCAAACCCUCGCACCCAAGCCUCUCCCACCACCUCCUCCAGCUUCCCCAAACCCCAGCCGAACUCCUUCUCGGCCCAAUCGACGGGAAUCGAAGCUCCAGACCACCAUGAACAAACAGUAGUUCCGCCCCUCACCGUCGAAGUCCUACCUCCGGUCCUUCUCCAUCCAACCUAGGUAUAGAAAUCAACUCCCCUCGACUCACUGAUGCUUGUGCUCUCCUCGUUCUUACACGUUCCCAUUGUUUCCGCGCUCGUUCCCGAGCCAUGCCGCCGCCGGCAUGUUGCUACUCGCCGCAAGCCACGCGCACGCGCCUCUGUGCCGCGCCGUCGAGCGCCCCCACUCCACCCAGCCUUGCUGAAUCCUCCCAUGGCCGCCCCGUCGCCAGCCACUCACCGGAGUGCCGCCACACACCAUCGCCGACCGCCACCGUGCACUGCUUCCGUGGACAGCACGCCUCCGGCCGCCCUCUGCCACGCUAAGACCACCCCAAGGUACGAUAGAUGAACCACGUGAAGGACGUGAUAUUGGAACCGAACACGAAGACGAUGUUUGGUGGACAUAUCCAGAAGAGGCAAAGAACCAGGAGUAGAUGCUUGGACCGGAAUACUCACCAAGCGAGUGUCAUCUAACAAACACUGGCCUAGUGUUAAUCCCAGGCAAGGUAUAGACGCUAAUCAGGAUUAACAUCGGUGGGCUCGAUGUGACGUCAUCACGUCUCCGUAGUUAUCGUUUUACUGCAUUUUAUUUCAGUUGGUUUCUAAUGAAAAUCUUCCUCAGGUUAGACUCUCUCUACCGCUGCUAUUAUCUAUUAUGUGAACUUUAAUUUGUAAAAGUCAUUUUGUAAAUAUCUUAAUAUUGUUUACUAUUUUGUAAAAUUGUAUCAUGCUGGUACCGUC
Long non-coding RNA from Panicum virgatum (switchgrass), 1066 nucleotides. RefSeq lists it as uncharacterized. NCBI's taxonomy places the organism in Eukaryota, Viridiplantae, Streptophyta, Magnoliopsida, Poales, Poaceae. The record is from RefSeq and is a predicted model, not a curated record. The transcript has 3 exons.